UGCCAGACUCCUACGGGAGGCAGCAGUGAGGAAUAUUGGUCAAUGGGCUUACGCCUGAACCAGCCAAGUCGCGUGAGGGAAGACUGCCCUAUGGGUUGUAAACCUCUUUUGUCAGGGAGCAAUUGGCGCUACGUGUAGCGUUAUCGAGAGUACCUGAAGAAAAAGCAUCGGCUAACUCCGUGCCAGCAGCCGCGGUAAUACGGAGGAUGCGAGCGUUAUCCGGAUUUAUUGGGUUUAAAGGGUGCGUAGGGGGAAUGCCAGGUGAGCGGUAAAAUCGGGGGGCUCAACCCCGGCCAGCCGGCGGAACUGCCGGGCUAGAGUGGGCGAGAAGUGCGCGGAAUGCGUGGUGUAGCGGUGAAAUGCAUAGAUAUCACGCAGAACUCCGAUUGCGAAGGCAGCGCACCGGCGCCCUACUGACGCUCAGGCACGAAAGCGUGGGUAUCGAACAGGAUUAGAUACCCGGGUA
Molecule: ribosomal RNA, 466 nt
Filed under: uncultured bacterium
Lineage: Bacteria
Description: partial 16S ribosomal RNA
Rfam family: Bacterial small subunit ribosomal RNA
Source: RNAcentral